UAGAGUUUGAUCCUGGCUCAGGAUGAACGCUGGCGGUCUGCUUAACACAUGCAAGUCGAACGAGAAUCUUCGGAUUCGAGUGGCGGACGGGUGAGUAACGCGUGAGAAUCUGCCUUCAGGACGGGGAUAACAGUUGGAAACGACUGCUAAGACCGGAUGUGCCGAGAGGUGAAAUAUUUAUAGCCUGAAGAUGAGCUCGCGUCUGAUUAGCUAGUUGGUAAGGUAAAAGCUUACCAAGGCUUCGAUCGGUAGCUGGUCUGAGAGGACGAUCAGCCACACUGGGACUGAGACACGGCCCAGACUCCUACGGGAGGCAGCAGUGGGGAAUUUUCCGCAAUGGGCGAAAGCCUGACGGAGCAAGACCGCGUGGGGGAGGAAGGUUCUUGGAUUGUAAACCCCUUUUCUCAGGGAAGAACACAAUGACGGUACCUGAGGAAUCAGCAUCGGCUAACUCCGUGCCAGCAGCCGCGGUAAUACGGAGGAUGCAAGCGUUAUCCGGAAUAAUUGGGCGUAAAGCGUCCGUAGGUGGCUGUUCAAGUCUGCCGUUAAAGACCGGGGCUUAACCCUGGAAAGGCGGUGGAAACUGAACGGCUAGAGUGCAGUAGGGGUAGAGGGAAUUCCCGGUGUAGCGGUGAAAUGCGUAGAGAUCGGGAAGAACACCGGUGGCGAAAGCGCUCUGCUGGACUGCAACUGACACUGAGGGACGAAAGCUAGGGGAGCGAAUGGGAUUAGAUACCCCAGUAGUCCUAGCCGUAAACGAUGGAUACUAGGUGUGGCCUGUAUCGACCCGGGCCGCGCCGUAGCUAACGCAUUAAGUAUCCCGCCUGGGGAGUACGCACGCAAGUGUGAAACUCAAAGGAAUUGACGGGGGCCCGCACAAGCGGUGGAGUAUGUGGUUUAAUUCGAUGCAACGCGAAGAACCUUACCAGGGCUUGACACGUCCGGAACCCUCUUGAAAGAGAGGGGUGCCUUCGGGAACCGGAACACAGGUGGUGCAUGGCUGUCGUCAGCUCGUGUCGUGAGAUGUUGGGUUAAGUCCCGCAACGAGCGCAACCCUCGUCCUUAGUUGCCAUCAUUGAGUUGGGCACUUUAGGGAGACUGCCGGUGACAAACCGGAGGAAGGUGGGGAUGACGUCAAGUCAGCAUGCCCCUUACGUCCUGGGCUACACACGUACUACAAUGCUACGGACAAAGGGCAGCAAGUUAGCAAUGACAAGCAAAUCCCAUAAACCGUGGCUCAGUUCAGAUCGCAGGCUGCAACUCGCCUGCGUGAAGGCGGAAUCGCUAGUAAUCGCCGGUCAGCAUACGGCGGUGAAUCCGUUCCCGGGCCU
Molecule: ribosomal RNA, 1331 nt
Filed under: uncultured cyanobacterium
Lineage: Bacteria; Bacillati; Cyanobacteriota
Description: bacterial SSU rRNA
Rfam family: Bacterial small subunit ribosomal RNA
Source: RNAcentral